Non-coding RNA from Vicia faba (fava bean), 306 nucleotides. Lineage: Eukaryota; Viridiplantae; Streptophyta; Magnoliopsida; Fabales; Fabaceae. The record is from the annotation of a GenBank genome assembly.
AUGAAAGGUGAGUGGUUUUACUUUUCAAUGACACUCACCAUCUAUGGUUUUGUCCUUUUAACCAUAAUAUUGAAGGUUGAAAGGUUUAUUAAAUUUUGGCAUUUUGUUUUUCAAUGUUGCUUUUUAUAUUCUACAAUAAAAUUAAAGCAAUGCUCUGUUGCUCUUUGUAGUACUCCUAGUGCAUAUUUAGUUCAAUUUGUGUUAUUUGAAUAUUAUAUAACUGGAGACACCUUAUGUAUAUAUAUAUAUGAAAUAUCAUAUACUAUAGGUUACAUCACUAUCACCCAUUUACUCUCGGUCAUAAAU